Molecule: ribosomal RNA, 233 nt
Filed under: uncultured Alicycliphilus sp.
Lineage: Bacteria; Pseudomonadati; Pseudomonadota; Betaproteobacteria; Burkholderiales; Comamonadaceae
Description: partial 16S ribosomal RNA
Rfam family: Bacterial small subunit ribosomal RNA
Source: RNAcentral
AGAGAUGCAUUGGGUAUAAAGCGUGCGCAGGUCGGUUUUGUAAGACAGAGGUGACGACCCCCGGGCUCAACCGUGGGAACUGCCUUUGUGACUGCAAGGCUGGAGUGCGGCAGAGGGGGAUGGAAUUCCGCGUGUAGCAGUGAAAUGCGUAGAUAUGCGGAGGAACACCGAUGGCGAAGGCAAUCCCCUGGGCCUGCACUGACGCUCAUGCACGAAAGCGUGGGGAGCAAACA